UAACGUAGGGUGGUAAUGCUGGAUGCUCCAACUUGACGCAUGUCUUGUUGGGAAAGUGUUUAGUGGCAUGGGAUGGGGUCGCGUCCUAUCAGCUUGUAGGCGGGGUAAUGGCCCACCUAGGCUUCGACGGGUAGCCGGCCUUAGAGGGCGGACGGCCACAUUGGGACUGAGAUACGGCCCAGACUCCUACGGGAGGCAGCAGAA
This 204-nucleotide ribosomal RNA is filed under the name uncultured Gardnerella sp. Its description in RNAcentral is "partial 16S ribosomal RNA". It matches the Rfam family "Bacterial small subunit ribosomal RNA", at positions 152 to 354 of the family's 1533-position model. Lineage: Bacteria; Bacillati; Actinomycetota; Actinomycetes; Bifidobacteriales; Bifidobacteriaceae. The record is from RNAcentral.